Onychomys torridus (southern grasshopper mouse) is the source of this 487-nucleotide long non-coding RNA. RefSeq lists it as uncharacterized. The record is from RefSeq and is a predicted model, not a curated record. The transcript is spliced from 3 exons. NCBI's taxonomy places the organism in Eukaryota, Metazoa, Chordata, Mammalia, Rodentia, Cricetidae.
AAUUGUUUUUGUUUCUAUAGACAGUGAUUUUCUGAGGAAUAUCCUUGGAUAUCCUGGAAAUUACUCUGUAGUCCAUGCAAGGCUUGAACUCACAGAGAUGCCCACCUGUGCCUCACAAGUGCUGGCAUUAAACUCAUACAACAUAAUUAACAACAAUCUUCAAUAUGUCUUAAAAUAUAUAAUAAGGAUGUUUUUGUACAAAGUGUCCCAGACUUUAAAUUUUGUUAGAUCAUCAUGUAUGGAUAGCUAAUUAUUGGAUGAAUUCGUUCAUCUGUCACCAUGAUAUCAAUGUUCAUCUAUGAUUGUGACUUCUUUUCCAUGGAGACCACAUGGUGGUCUGCAUUUAGAGGUCAUUGACAGUGUAUUGGAAGAAAUGAGAGAAAUGUCUCAGAGACAUGUGAAUGGGCUGUCAUCACAGGAAUCACACCGAAAGAGCAUCUUUUAGUAGCUUUCAGCAUCCAGUGUGUGGUGAGAGAUGAAACUCAUG